UCAAGGUUGACCUCGGAUCAGGUAGGGAUACCCGCUGAACUUAAGCAUAUCAAUAAGCGG
This 60-nucleotide ribosomal RNA is filed under the name Botryosphaeria dothidea. Its description in RNAcentral is "partial 28S ribosomal RNA". Lineage: Eukaryota; Fungi; Ascomycota; Dothideomycetes; Botryosphaeriales; Botryosphaeriaceae. The record is from RNAcentral.